CAAUAUCAUUGGUCCAAUUUCACUUUUCCCUCUUUCCCUCAUUUCAAAAUCACACCCCUCUCUCUUCUUCCUCCUCAUUACGUAUUUUGUUCUCUCCUCCUUCUUCUCUACUCUCUCUUUUUCCUUUUCCUUGAAACCCCAAAAAUGCCUCCGGAGUCACCUCUCACCUCUAAGCCACGCAACGCUCACCCUACCUCACAACUUCUGCACAAUUUUCUCUUAAACGAGGAGACGCUCUAUUUUUCUGGAUUUGAGAUCCAUUUUGUGAAAUUCACGCUGAUUUAGUUUUAGUUUCAGAAGAUGUGAUUCCUCAGAGUCUUUGAUUUACUUUUGUUUCAGGAUAUGCAAUUCCUCACACCAAGAUGAAGAAUAUGAAGCGGAUCUUAAUAAUGUUAGGUUCAACAUGAACAUUUCGAAGACCUGUGUUUAAUAAAGGUUGUUACAGCCAAGAUCAUACCUAAUAUGCAAAUAGGUUGAUGCAGGUUGCUUUUUCUUUUUUCCAAUUCUGGUUUGGAUCAUGCUGUCACGUGGAGCACAAUUUUUUUUUGAAAACGAUCCAUUUUCAACUAGGAUUAGUAGAGAAAACUCAUUUCAGCAUGCACGAGGCAGAAAUAUAUCUUCUACUAAAUGUGUUUUUGGGUUUAAAAAUCUACCUUUUUAUCUGCAACUCAUAUGUUUACAAACCACACCAGAUAACCACAGGUUUUUAUCAGGUCUUAUUGUCACGAGAUACGACUGAAAGAUUAUCUUGCACUCCUUAGUUGUUGUUGUGUGCGCAACAUUUUCUCUAUUUCUAUUGUGUUGAUGACCAAAGGAUCUAUUAAAUCUUUGUGAGGUUAUUUGUCAUUGCAGUUAAUUUCUGUUUUGUUGUUCUAAACAUUUUAGCUGCAAAUUUCUAACAAACUAAGUGCUGAAACAAAAACCUUUUCAUUGGGAACUGCAUAUUUGCGUAACCUGCAUAUUUGGGGUCCGGAUUGUCUGACGUUUACGCGGUAACGUCACUCUACCUUUGGAGCACUUAAAAUCGUUGGAUAAAUCAUGUGUUCAAUAAAAUGCCACGUGACAAUCUUUUUUGUUUAAUUUCUUGAAAAGAAAAAAACGCAAGAAGAAAGAUAACUGUUACAACAUUGACGGUAGCAGGAGAAGCUUCCUCGGCUUGCGCCAUAACUAUUGAAAACGUGGAUGGCUGAAGACGAAAGCAAGGUGGGAGAUGAUCGGAAACAGAAGCAAGGUGAGAACAACAAGAAGAUUCUGGCAACGCAAACCAGAUGUGGGAUGGCCGGAGAUGGAAACAAGGUGGGAGAUGACGGAAAACAGAAACAAGGUGAGAGAGGCCGAUGAUGACAACAUCAAAAAACGGCAAGAAGAUGAUAUGGCGGAGGUGUUGGGGAACCGGUGGUCUGUGUGUAUUGUAAAGUAGUGCACCUGAACUAGUUGUUUUAAUUUUCAAAUUAAAAAAUAGAGACGUGUCAUUAUUAAGAAUGUUAGAUUUAUCUGAUGGACAAAAAUAGUUGAACUGCACUCUACCUUUGGCGCCCAAACGUCAGUGAAUCCAUUUCCGCAUAUUUGCCUAACCUGUUCAUUUUCCUGCUAUAGAUCAGCAUAACCUUUUGAAUUUGCCCAUCCUUUUGGGAAACACUUGAGUACAAUGUCACUUCAACCUUAAAUGCCAAGGUGAUUUCCCCACGUUUAAUAAGUCAUCAUCCAAAGGUUAGUCAUCAGCCAAUGAUUAUUGCUUGUCCCUGUGAGGGAAAAGGGUGGAAGUUCCUAGGCAGACUCCAGUUUGAAAGGAAAUUCACAUCAGGUAGAAUUGUGUAUUCUCGAGCUGACUCAAGGAUGAGACUAGAUCAGAGACAUUUAGAAAAUGGAGACUAUGAAUUUGCUAAUGCGGAGAAACUAAGGCUUGAACAGUUGUAGAGACAGUUUAUCCCACGGUGACGAGCUUAUACUCAUGACAUAUCCUGUUUCUUUUAUGUCAAAAUUUGGAAAUAAUUGGUCUCGUCCCAGCCACAUUAUUUUAUUUGAUUUAGAAGAGCAAAAGUUGAGAAGCUUCUUAAUUUUAUUUGAUUAUAAAGAGGAGAAACGGUUUUUAAUGCUCACUUCAAGGAAGAUCGUGAUCUUCAAGCUUCAAUGGUUGUAUAUGUUUGUUUAGGUUGUUUUCCAUGCAGCAGGUUUUUCAAAGCUAGAUUUUGAUUACCACAGUUAAAAGUAGACCAUGCGACCGGAUGUGUUCUUAGGAACCUAAUCGCUUUCUGACAAUGUCACUAUCCUGAUGAGCCUUACAUAUGCAACUAUGUUUCUUUGUUUGAUUCAAUUAUUUCCACCAAAGAUGAUGCAGAGUUGCUGGUAGAUAAAGAAAUCGCUGUUCAUGAACUUGAAAGCAGCGAAGAAUUGACGACCCUUUUUAACGGUCUAUGCAAACAUGUUGUCGGGUCUACUUUCUUGAUCCAUGGAGAAAUAGUUCUACCAUAGUUAUAAUUGUUCUAAUUUUAAAAAUCUUCAAUUUCUGUGGCGCUGAAUCAUCUAAUGUUGUAGUUACUUUAGAAAUCUAUGUAAUAAAUAACGUGUACUAGAGUUAUUAACUCUUGGAAGACCCUGUGUACUAGAAAUACUUCUGUUGCACAUGUAUGAUGAUUUUUUGUCAUGAACUCUUGGAAGUAUGAUAAAAUGAAUUAUAAGCUUUUGAAAGUAAGCUAAAUAAUUUACUCUAACCAUUUCACUUUAUCCAAUGUAUCCGUUCCAAUAAUCUAAUUCAUUAAAAAAAAAUAAAUUAAAACCACUUACCACAAUGAUGUCACAAUCAAGAUUCUUGAUAUCCAAUGUCAAAUAAUGAGUCGACAUGGACACUAAAGCAGAACCAAAAUUACUAAUAAGAAAUUCUUAAAAAUGAAAUUCAAGCAAUGUAGUGAAACAUAACAUGGUCCUACUAGC
This is a long non-coding RNA of Vicia villosa (hairy vetch), 2931 nucleotides long. RefSeq lists it as uncharacterized. NCBI's taxonomy places the organism in Eukaryota, Viridiplantae, Streptophyta, Magnoliopsida, Fabales, Fabaceae. The transcript is spliced from 5 exons. The record is from RefSeq and is a predicted model, not a curated record.